UGAGUGCACUGGCAGCAGGAUGUGGCAUGUUUAAACUUUUAACUUCAGCAGUCUUCGAGGGAGGAAGUUUCUAAUUAUUUUGAAAACCACCCCAUACAUCUCUUCAAGGUUGUUGCUGUACCUGCAUGACAUGACUUCGCAUGAACUUUUAGAAAUGGCAGCCGAUUGUGCUUGGUUAUCCAGAAGGGCCAAGAUUCAAGAUUCGUGUCUUUGGAGAAGUGCCAUAUUGACAAUUAAC
Molecule: long non-coding RNA, 238 nt
Organism: Patiria miniata (bat star)
Lineage: Eukaryota; Metazoa; Echinodermata; Asteroidea; Valvatida; Asterinidae
Exons: 3
Source: RefSeq, a predicted model, not a curated record